RNAcentral lists this unclassified non-coding RNA (304 nucleotides) under Hevea brasiliensis (rubber tree). Lineage: Eukaryota; Viridiplantae; Streptophyta; Magnoliopsida; Malpighiales; Euphorbiaceae. The record is from RNAcentral.
AAAAUCACUCCAAGGGGGAUCUGCCAUUGUAGUAAAUAAACUAUAAACCAAAAUGCCAUGCUGUAGGAAUUAAUUACAGGCAAGGAAAUUUGGUGAAAAUUCUGAAGGAAUUCUGGGCACCAAAUACUCUGUAAAAGCCAUUCUUAUUGGACUAACAUGAUGAAUUAAGCCUUAGAAUUUUCGUUUUGGAAUGAAUUGGGUAAUUUCUUAAUGGUUUCCUUUGAAUAAAUAUUUUGUAAGAAAAAAAUUCAAUGAAAUUCUCACAAAUUACGCUUAUUUAUAUUUCUUUUAAAAUGAAAAAUUU